AUGGGGACAAAAAUGUUACACCUGGAGGGUGUAGUAGUCAGGAUCUCCCUGUGCAGGCCACCCAGCUUGUUCACUUCAAGGAGACACCAUAUCUGGCCAACAGAAGGGGCAAUUGUGGAAGGUGUCGGUAAUGCCCAACCUGCAAUGGGAUGCAUGGGCACAGAGGCUGGACCCAAGGUCACCAACCCAGGAACAUUACCCUGGAGGACAAGCAUGGUGGAGGAGAAGAAAUCAAACCAACUAAAGACAAGGAAAAGAAAGCUCAAUUCACAUUCAAACAUCUGACAUAAGCACCUGCAGUCACAAAGUUGCUACCAGAUGCUUCAUCUGCUCAAUGGGCCCUUCACAGAAUUUUCCCUUGAGGGCAAAAGGACUUGGAAAAGCACUUUUCAUGUUGAACAUGAAAAAAAACACCUCAAAGCAAACAAAAGAAAACAGAACAAAUCCCACCCCCAUCCAAUUUAUUAUGCAGGAGCACCUGGAUUGGAUUGAGAUUUACCAACUCUGGAGCUACUUCCCCUUGUCACCAGCUUGUAACAAGGAAAAUGAAAAGUGAGUUCACCCGCCGAACCCCAACUCAAGGAGUCGGCUGGUAAUGUGAGCACAUCCCUGCAAGAUGCCCCUGGGUGGACCCCUGUCUAACCAAGUUGCCUGUUUUUAGACUCAGACACGCUGGCUCUAAAAGCCGCCACUCUGUAGUAAUUUCAUACAAAUGAAUUUAGUCUUCUGAAAACCAUCAUGAUACAGCCACUGGAUGAGUCCAGACUACCUCCUAACCUUGGAGCCAGCCUGUCUGGAAGGUGCCAGAAAAACCAGAGAAGUGGCCGCGUUGAAAUCUCUCAUGAAAUAUCUGGAAGCAGGUACUAAUGAGAAAACAGAAUUCCAGAUGAAGGUCUACAGGAAGAAAAGCCAAGCCAAGGCAACCAUGAGCAAAGAACUAUUUAAGGAUAGAUUUCCCUCUCACACUUUCCUCCCUGUGAUGUCCAAGGAAGACAGCAGCACGCCCCUCAGCGACCAGCUCGGACUGUCAUAAAAUAAACCAACACUCAGCAAGAGAGCA
RNAcentral lists this long non-coding RNA (1060 nucleotides) under Vulpes vulpes (red fox). RNAcentral describes it as "lncRNA (ENSVVUG00000006068.1)". Lineage: Eukaryota; Metazoa; Chordata; Mammalia; Carnivora; Canidae. The record is from RNAcentral.